GAGACUUUAGCUCAGUGGUAGAGCAUCUCACUUUUAAUGAGAGGGUCGAUGGUUCGAACCCAUCAAGUCUCA
RNAcentral lists this transfer RNA (72 nucleotides) under Chlamydiae bacterium RIFCSPHIGHO2_01_FULL_44_39. RNAcentral describes it as "tRNA-Lys". It matches the Rfam family "tRNA". Rfam says of the family: Transfer RNA (tRNA) molecules are approximately 80 nucleotides in length. Their secondary structure includes four short double-helical elements and three loops (D, anti-codon, and T loops). RNAcentral also lists the same sequence under 11 other names. Lineage: Bacteria; Pseudomonadati; Chlamydiota. The record is from RNAcentral.